Molecule: transfer RNA, 87 nt
Filed under: Calditrichales bacterium
Lineage: Bacteria; Pseudomonadati; Calditrichota; Calditrichia; Calditrichales
Description: tRNA-Leu
Rfam family: tRNA
About the family: Transfer RNA (tRNA) molecules are approximately 80 nucleotides in length. Their secondary structure includes four short double-helical elements and three loops (D, anti-codon, and T loops). Further hydrogen bonds mediate the characteristic L-shaped molecular structure. tRNAs have two regions of fundamental functional importance: the anti-codon, which is responsible for specific mRNA codon recognition, and the 3' end, to which the tRNAs corresponding amino acid is attached (by aminoacyl-tRNA synthetases). tRNAs cope with the degeneracy of the genetic code in two manners: having more than one tRNA (with a specific anti-codon) for a particular amino acid; and 'wobble' base-pairing, i.e. permitting non-standard base-pairing at the 3rd anti-codon position.
Source: RNAcentral
GCGAGGAUGGCGGAAUUGGUAGACGCGCCAGAUUUAGGAUCUGGUGGGCUUACGCCUGUGGGGGUUCAAAUCCCCCUCCUCGUACCA